Molecule: ribosomal RNA, 253 nt
Filed under: uncultured bacterium
Lineage: Bacteria
Description: partial 16S ribosomal RNA
Rfam family: Bacterial small subunit ribosomal RNA
Source: RNAcentral
UACGUAGGGUGCAAGCGUUGUCCGGAAUUAUUGGGCGUAAAGAGCUCGUAGGCGGUUUGUCGCGUCUGCCGUGAAAGUCCGGGGCUCAACUCCGGAUCUGCGGUGGGUACGGGCAGACUAGAGUGAUGUAGGGGAGACUGGAAUUCCUGGUGUAGCGGUGAAAUGCGCAGAUAUCAGGAGGAACACCGGUGGCGAAGGCGGGUCUCUGGGCCGAUACUGACGCUGAGGAGCGAAAGCGUAGGGAGCGAACAGG